This 176-nucleotide unclassified non-coding RNA is filed under the name Staphylotrichum coccosporum. RNAcentral's name for it is "ITS1". Lineage: Eukaryota; Fungi; Ascomycota; Sordariomycetes; Sordariales; Chaetomiaceae. The record is from RNAcentral.
CAGAGUCGCAAUACUCCGUAAACCAUUGUGAACGUUACCUUAACCGUUGCUUCGGCGGGCGGCGCCCGGGCCUCACCGCCCGCGGCGCCCCCCGGCCCCCCGUGGGCGCCCGCCGGAGGUACACCAAACUCUUGCAUUAUAUGGCCUCUCUGAGUAUUCUGUACUGAAUAAGUCAA